GACAGAGGCCUCGAGCGUUAGGCGGAAUCACUGGGCUUAAAGCGUGUGUAGGCGGAUCGUUAAGUACCUUGUGAAAUCCCACGGCUCAACCGUGGAACGGCUGGGUAUACUGGCGGUCUUGGGCCAUUCAGGGGCGACUGGAACAAGCGGUGGAGCGGUGAAAUGCGUAGAUAUCGCUUGGAACGCCGAAGGUGAAAACAGGUCGUUGGGGAUGUGCCGACGCUGAGACACGAAAGCCAGGGGAGCAAACGGG
This 253-nucleotide ribosomal RNA is filed under the name uncultured bacterium. RNAcentral describes it as "partial 16S ribosomal RNA". It matches the Rfam family "Bacterial small subunit ribosomal RNA", at positions 524 to 776 of the family's 1533-position model. The record is from RNAcentral.